This 326-nucleotide long non-coding RNA is filed under the name Pan troglodytes (chimpanzee). Its description in RNAcentral is "long non-coding RNA NONPTRT004485". The record is from RNAcentral. Lineage: Eukaryota; Metazoa; Chordata; Mammalia; Primates; Hominidae.
CCGCCCCUUAGAGGAAAAGCCACGAGUUGCUGUUGUGCUGCAGGAGAGAAAGGGAGAAAGAAAGCGUGCGACAGGGAGUGGGAGCCCCAAGUCAAGAGGAGCCCCACAGAGGCAGCCCUGGACUUCGGGACCACAGAGGUGCUGAGUGCUGCCCGAUUCUGGAUCCCACUCUGCUUAGCUCAGAACUUUGUCAGCGAGCAAGAACAAUGCCAGGAGGUCUGGAGAAAACGUGUCAUCAGUGCAUUUCUAAAAUCGCCAGCAAUGGGACAUCUCUAAGGGCCACCCCCCUUUCAUCCCUGGAGCACACCUACUGCUGUGGGGGCCAG